CACGGUCCAGACUCCUACGGGAUGCAGCAGUAGGGAAUCUUCCGCAAUGGGCGACAGCCUGACGGAGCAACGCCGCGUGCGUGAUGAAGGUCUUCGGAUCGUAACACUCUGUUAUUAGGGACGCCCAUAUGCGUAAGUAACUGUGCACAUCUUGACGGUACCUAAUCAGAACGCCACGGCUAACUACGUGCCAGCAGCCGCGGUAAUACGAAGGUGGCAAGCGUUAUCCGGCAUUCUUGGGCGUAAUGCGCGCGUAGGGGGUUUUUUUAGUCUGAUGUGAAACCCUACCGCUCUACCGCGGAGGGUUAUUGGAAGCUGGAAAACUUGCUUCCCGAAGAGGAGACUGGUAUUGCUUGUGUUGCUCUGGAAUGCACAGCGCC
RNAcentral lists this ribosomal RNA (380 nucleotides) under Staphylococcus aureus. Its description in RNAcentral is "bacterial SSU rRNA". It matches the Rfam family "Bacterial small subunit ribosomal RNA", at positions 325 to 697 of the family's 1533-position model. Lineage: Bacteria; Bacillati; Bacillota; Bacilli; Caryophanales; Staphylococcaceae. The record is from RNAcentral.